Molecule: unclassified non-coding RNA, 314 nt
Filed under: Ephemerocybe plagiopora
Lineage: Eukaryota; Fungi; Basidiomycota; Agaricomycetes; Agaricales; Psathyrellaceae
Description: Coprinellus plagioporus partial internal transcribed spacer region
Rfam family: Eukaryotic small subunit ribosomal RNA (bases 1-46)
Source: RNAcentral
AAGUCGUAACAAGGUUUCCGUAGGUGAACCUGCGGAAGGAUCAUUAAAGAAUAACUUUGGCAUGGUUGUAGCUGGCUCUUAGGAGCAUGUGCACACCUGUCAUCUUUAUCUUUCCACCUGUGCACACUAUGUAGAUCUGGAUAACUCUCGUCCUCCGGGACGGAAACAAGGAUUGCUGCGUCGCAAGACCGGCUCUCUUUGAAUUUCCAGGUCUAUGUUUCUUACAAACCCCAAUUGCAUGAUGAAGAAUGAUGUCAAUGGGCUCUAAGCCUAUAAAACAUAUACAACUUUCAGCAACGGAUCUCUUGGCUCUC